AUCAUGCUAAUUUUACUAUGUUAUUUUUCAGUGAAGCCAGAGGGCCUAAUCUCUGCCCUCACUUUAACAUAUGUGAACAUUUCCCUCAGUUUUCUGAGACUCUGAAACCACUUUGCUGUGGAUCCAUCAUCAAAAAGGGUACAUACAAAUCAGACAACUCAGGCCUGCAUAUUGCCUUCUGCAACAUCCUCAAAAAUCCAUUUUUGCUAUUGGCAGGACAUUGAUUCCCUUUGAAUGGAUGGGGAGUCCAGGCGGGGACAAGAGAUGACGCGGUGAGGCACCAAGGAUAACCAUUAAAAAGGAACCAGGACUCCAGGACGCGCCAAGACAUUCCUGCUGCCAACAUGAUUCCAAGAAAAUUAAUUUCAUUUCAUCGGUGGUGUUCACUUUGAGUUUCAUUUGAAUGAGCUUACCCUUUAAACACAGAACUGAAGCUGUUUCUACUGACUUAAUUCUUACAAUAAAAAAAAAUUACAUUAAUAACCUCAUAAUAGUCUCCACCCGUUGGAUGUGUUACAACUAAAAACAUGUGUGCAAUUAAAUUACCUUAUAAUUGAUAAGGAGGAGGAUUGGGUAGAUUUAUCCUCAGGAAAUAGUCACAUUCUCUAACAACAGAGGGAGAAUGAAUGAGGCAGAAUGUGAGCUGUAAUCACCACAGAUGGGUCAUUAUCAGCAUAUGACUGUCUUAAAACUGAUGUGUUUAUAUUCAGCACACUUGUUCCGAACACAUGUUGCAUCAUGUGUUCGGAGGAAUCAUUUGUCUGAACAGGCUUUAGCAGUAUGUGUGACACUCUAAUUCUCUAAUCCUUUACUCUUUGUUGUAGCCUAUAGAUAUUUUUCCUUGUGGUGAAAUAAAUCAGCUCUUGAGGCACAA
Molecule: long non-coding RNA, 874 nt
Organism: Scatophagus argus
Lineage: Eukaryota; Metazoa; Chordata; Actinopteri; Scatophagidae
Exons: 2
Source: RefSeq, a predicted model, not a curated record